GAUCCUGGCUCAGAAUCAACGCUGGCGGCGCGCUUAACACAUGCAAGUCGAACGAGAAAGCCCGCAAGGGUGAGUAAAGUGGCGUACGGGUGAGUAACACGUGGGUAAUCUACCUUUUGGUGGGGAAUAACCCUGGGAAACCGGGGCUAAUACCGCAUAAGCUCGAAAGAGGAAAGGAGCAAUUCGCCGAAAGAGGAGCCCGCGGCUGAUUAGCUAGUUGGUGAGGUAAAGGCUCACCAAGGCUAUGAUCGGUAGCCGGCCUGAGAGGGCACACGGCCACACUGGCACUGAAACACGGGCCAGACUCCUACGGGAGGCAGCAGUGGGGAAUCUUGCACAAUGGGGGAAACCCUGAUGCAGCGACGCCGCGUGAGUGAUGAAGCCCUUCGGGGUGUAAAGCUCUUUCGGCAGGGACGAUAAUGACGGUACCUGAAGAAGAAGCUGCGGCUAACUACGUGCCAGCAGCCGCGGUAAUACGUAGGCAGCGAGCGUUGUUCGGAGUUACUGGGCGUAAAGAGUGCGUAGGCGGUUUUCUAAGUUUGGUGUGAAAUCUCCCGGCUUAACUGGGAGGGUGCGCCGAAGACUGGAAGGCUUGAGUAUGGGAGAGGUAAGCGGAAUUCCUGGUGUAGCGGUGAAAUGCGUAGAUAUCAGGAGGAACACCUGCGGUGUAGACGGCUUACUGGACCAUAA
RNAcentral lists this ribosomal RNA (690 nucleotides) under uncultured Acidobacteriota bacterium. RNAcentral's name for it is "bacterial SSU rRNA". It matches the Rfam family "Bacterial small subunit ribosomal RNA", at positions 15 to 739 of the family's 1533-position model. Lineage: Bacteria; Pseudomonadati; Acidobacteriota. The record is from RNAcentral.